Molecule: ribosomal RNA, 229 nt
Filed under: uncultured bacterium
Lineage: Bacteria
Description: partial 16S ribosomal RNA
Rfam family: Bacterial small subunit ribosomal RNA
Source: RNAcentral
UGCGUAGGCGGAAUAUUAAGUCAGUGGUGAAAUCCUGCGGCUCAACCGUAGAACUGCCAUUGAUACUGAUAUUCUUGAAUGUAGUUGAGGUAGGCGGAAUGGGUAAUGUAGCGGUGAAAUGCUUAGAUAUUACACAGAACACCGAUUGCGAAGGCAGCUUACUAAACUAUGAUUGACGCUGAGGCACGAAAGCGUGGGGAGCGAACAGGAUUAGAUACCCUGGUAGUCC